ACUCAAGCAAAAAUACACUUACAAAAAUAUACAAAAACUUACACAAUUACGUUAAUUCCCAACAUUUAGCAAAAGCAAGGAAUGAUAAAUAACUAGGCCUUUGCACCUUAUGGGAUUCUUAAACUCACUGAAAACAUUCUGAAGCCGUGUUAAUGGCUCUUACUGUACUGUAAAAAAUGUAUCUUAAUUUCAGGAAAUUUCCUAAAGCCCAGGAAGAGAACAGAGAGUGUGCUUGCUUGCUUUGCUGAGUUGAAACCCUGCAGAUGACUCUUCAUUGUCCUCUGAUACUACCAGGUCCAUGGUGCAGCCUUCUUGCAGCUAGUUCUCCUCUCAUGAUUCUACCUGCAGCAUAUGCAGAGGUUCCAAGCUUCUGCUAAUUU
This 380-nucleotide long non-coding RNA is filed under the name Dromaius novaehollandiae (emu). RNAcentral describes it as "lncRNA (ENSDNVG00000001124.1)". The record is from RNAcentral. Lineage: Eukaryota; Metazoa; Chordata; Aves; Casuariiformes; Dromaiidae.